This is a long non-coding RNA of Gorilla gorilla gorilla (western lowland gorilla), 2075 nucleotides long. RefSeq lists it as uncharacterized. The record is from RefSeq and is a predicted model, not a curated record. Lineage: Eukaryota; Metazoa; Chordata; Mammalia; Primates; Hominidae. The transcript is spliced from 3 exons.
ACUGCGGCGGCGUUGACUGAGGGGGCGCCACCAGGCGCCGUCACGUGCAUUCGCGGGGGCGUCGGCGCGGGUCGCGUUUCUUCAGACACCCAGGGAGACAGACGUGGGGCAGAACUCAUGGGCUGAAGUGAGAGAUGGCUGGGGCCCAGGCGAGCGACCGAGCAGGGUCCGAACAGAGCCAGCGAGGGACCCCGGGCUGUGCUUGAGGCCCGACGACGCGCCAUAGCCCGGCAGCGCCGCAGCUCAGGCCUCUGCGAAUCUGUGGUCCACACGCUGAUAAACUUAGAGCCCUCUGCACUGGGGCAGAAACCGAAAGGCAUGACCCAGACCGAGAAAGAUAUUUGCAUACUGAGAAAGUGUGAAACACAAUUGUCGAGACUAAAAGGAGACACUGAGAGGAUACGCCAAUCAGAGACGGGGUUUCACCAUGUUGCCCAGGCUGGUCUUGAACUCCUGAGCUCAAGCAGUCUGCUCAUCUCGGCCUCCCAAAGUGCUGCGAUUACAGGAGUGAGCCUCUGUGCCCAGCCUGGUUUAGAGUCAGCUCCAUACAUACACAUCUUUGGGAGUUCAACUCUUUUCAUCGACAAGUCGAGAGAACAGCCACCACGUCUGCAUCUAUUCGAUGUCAGCAUCCCCACCUGCAGAUGAGGGGAAGGUCCCUUGCCCAAGGUUGCCAAAGUUGGCAGUGCUGAGCUUUGAGCCAGGUCUUUCCUUUCUACCCCUCUGCCUGCCCUGCCUUCCACAUGGGAGCUUCCUCCCCAUCCUGCCUUUGUUGAUGCUGACAGAUCAACUUGGUGAAUUACAUCCUUCAUUCAAUAGACACAACAGAGUCAUGUAGACCUCAUCUCUGGGACCCAGCCCUGUGCUAAAGAUACCAAAGAUGAUGAGAACAUGGCCCCUGACCUGAAGAGGUUAUAAUCCAAUGGUAAACAGGUACAUAAAGAAAUAAAAAAAACUAAGGCCAAGGCAGGAGGAUCGCCUUGGGUAACUGUCCAAGGGGUUCACCUUGCCCACCGCCUAGACAGAGCCGAUUCAUCAAGACAGGGUAACUGCAAUAGAGAAAGGGUAAUUCAUGCAGGGCUGGCUGUGCAGGAGACUGGAGUUUUAUUAUAACUCAAAUCAGCCUCCCUGAGCAUUCGGGGAGCAGAGUUUUUAAGGAUAACUUGGUGGGUGGGUGGAAGCCAGUGAGCCCGGAGCGCUGAUUGGUCAGAGAUGAAAUCAUAGGGAGUUGAAGCUGUCUUCUUGCGCUGAGUCAGUUCCUGGGUGGGGGCCCCAAGAUCAGAUGAGCCAGUUUAUUGAUCUGGGUGGUACCAGCUAAUUCAUCAAAUGCACGGUCUGCAAAAUAUCUCAAGCACUGAUUUUGGGAGCAGUUUAGGGAGAGUCAGAAUCUUGCAACCUCAGCUGCAUGACUCCUAAACCAUAAUUUCUAAUCUGUGGCUAAUGUGAGUCCUACAAAGGCAAUCUAGUCCCCAGGCAAGAAGGAGGUCUGCUUUGGGAAAGGGCUGUUACUGUCUUUACCAUCUUUGUUUAAAUUAUAAACCAUAAACUAAGUUUCUCCCAAAGUUAGUUCAGCCUACACCCAGGAAUGAUCAAGGACAGCUUGGAGGUUAGAAGCAAGGUGGAGUCGGUUAAGUUAGAUCUAUCUCACUGUCUCAGUCAUAAUUUUGUGAAGGCGAUUUCAUCAGGAAUUCAAGACCAGCCUGGGCAACAUGGCAAAAAAUAUUUAUUUUUAAAAAAGUAUUUUUUUAAUGGAUCUAUUUUUUUUUAAAAAAAGAUCUAUUUUUUAAAAGUAUCUAUUAAAAAAAUACAAAAAAUUAGCUGGGUGUGGUGAUGUGUGCCUGUACUCUCAGCUACCUGGGAGGUUGAGGUGGGAGGAUCACCUAAGCCCAGAAGGUCGAGGCUGCAGUGAACCAUGAUCGAACCGCUGCACUCCAGCCUGGGUGACAGACAAUUUAAGAUUAAGUUUGAGACUCUGUCUCAAAAAAAGACAAAGAAGGAAAGAGAGAGAGAAAGAGACAGAGAAAGAAAGAAAACGGCAUAUCUCUAUUGUUCAGAUGAGAAAAAUGAGGCCCCAG